Molecule: RNA transcript, 2467 nt
Organism: Hippopotamus amphibius kiboko
Lineage: Eukaryota; Metazoa; Chordata; Mammalia; Artiodactyla; Hippopotamidae
Gene: MIS18A
Gene name: MIS18 kinetochore protein A
Exons: 5
Source: RefSeq, a predicted model, not a curated record
GCCGCGCGGGCAGUUUGUAGCUCAUGGCGGGCGCUUGGUCUCCGGAUUGUUGCAAAAGAUGCUCCUCUACUAGGUGUGCGUGUGGCGACAAGGGCAAGAGGAGCGACUCCUCGCUGUUAGGCAGGCGGCUCUCAGAAGACUCGAGCCGCCACCAGCUGCUGCAGAAGUGGGCGAGCAUGUGGAGCUCCGUGAGCGGGGACGCGUCGGUGGCCUGCGCGGAGAGGACGGCGAGCGAGGAGGCUGCGGAGCCGGCGGAGGAGGAGGGGGACAGGCCGCUGGUGUUUCUGUGCUCCGGCUGCCGGCGGCCGCUGGGCGACUCGCUGAGCUGGGUGACGAGCCAGGAAGACACCAACUGCAUCCUGCUGCGCUGUGUUUCCUGUAAUGUUUCUGUGGAUAAGGAACAGAUACUAUCCAAACGUAAAGAUGAAAAUGGUUGCAUCCUGGAGACUUUGUACUGCGCAGGAUGUUCACUUAACCUUGGCUACGUAUACAGAUGCACACCCAAGAAUCUAGACUACAAGCGGGACUUGUUCUGCCUCAGUGUGGAAGCCAUUGAAAGAUGUAACCCUCAGGACUUCAAAGAUGGCUAGGAAACCUUAAAUAACAGAAAAAAGAACAAUUUAAGAAGAAAAGAAAGUGCCUACACUUUCAUUACUCAAGGUAUUUCGUCACUCUGGUUGAAUUUCUUAGAUUUUCUCUUUAAAAAAUUUAAAACAGUGUUCUUUUUAUUAUAAUUUUUCAUUUAAUCUUCGAUAACUGCAGUUUUGCCACCUUCUUUGAAAGUAGACAGAUCAAAGUUAUAAAAUCUGGAAACUUUUUACAGUCUUUAUGUAAGAGAAUAAUAUAGCAAGUACUGCUCGUUGAUGUAAAGCAUGUAGGCCUGCCUAGAGAGAGAUCAGAUCUGUUUUGGUUUUAAAUAGAAGACCCAAACCCAAACAACUGUUUCCUUAAUCUCCAUGAGAAUUUUACUAAGCUUUGUGUAAAUCACGUGGGGGAGAGUACAAGUAAAAACGACAUGAAAUCUUUAGUACGGUUGGUACAAAACUUGAAAUGUGAUGCAUAUCUGUAUAAAAGAAAAUAUGUGGAAGAUUUCUCCAUAGAGAAUUAUAGUAUUGGGGCUGUUUUUUCCUGAACAGUUGAAUUUAAGGUAAAGUUACCUCUUGGGGCAGAAUUUUAAUGACAAGGAACCUGGUUUGUUUUAGAAGUGGAUGCCCUCUGUAAUGUUUAUUUACAGUGUUAUAAAUUACUUAAUACCAUUUAAUAUCCCCCUCAUCUCAUUUUUCUUUUCUAAACAGGAUAUUAAUUGCCUUCUGCAAUUUUGCCUCCCAUGACGUUUUUCAGAAAUUUGCUCAGUUUAAUCUUGAGUUUCUAAGAGAAAACUGUUCUUCUUUGAUAAAAGAAGUGACAUACUGAAGUUGUUACAUGUAAUGAAAUACUUCUACUAAAGACAUGCAAAUCAAGUUUCGUUUUUUGAGAAAUACUAGCACCUUUUCCCCUACUGUUUAGAUUUAUUUGGUUACCAAAGCUGGGUCUGUUUUCCCUUCAUUACCAGGCCAAUUUUUCUGUUUUUUUUUUUUAUUUUCUAAACUAUGACAUCUCAUCACCCCAGAGAGUGGAGCAAAACGUAAGUUAUAGGGUAACUGUUGAAGUUCCCCAAAUUUAGGUAAUCUAGAGUUGACCCACAAAUUAUAUACUAAAAUUCAAAUUUGAAAAUGCACACAUUCCUGAGAAAUUAUAUUAAAAAAAUAUUGAAGAUGAUUGAACUUGGUGUACCUCAAAAAAAGAAUAAAUAAAUAAAAAAAAAAGAAAAAAAAUAUUGAUAUAAUAAAGCAGUGGCUUCUUCAGAAUCUUUGUAAACUUUAAAAUAGAAUUUUGAACUAUGAGUGGUAAUGUUUUGCCGCCCAGUUUACUAAAGAGCAAGUUUAUUCCCAGUAAUGAAAUACUUAUAAUAUUGGGAAAUGUGGAGGGCUCUUCGGACAAAGCUGUUAUGGAGAAAAACAUGAUUUCAUGUAGUUUAGCCUCCUAUGUAGGUUGCUAUUGACAAAAAUAGUUGUUUUAUGUUUUUACUUGGUACUAAUAUAUAGUUUAAUAUACUUUGAGUUUUAAUAUUUUAAUUUUUUGUUGCGUUUGUUUAUUUUUGGCCAUGCCUCGCGGGAUGUGAGAUCUUAGUUCCCUGACCAAGGAUUGAACCUCUGCCCCCUACAGUGGCCGCUGAGAGUCCUAACCACUGGACAGCCAGGGAAUUCCCUUAAUAUUGUUAAUAUAAAUUUUAUAUUUACUCCCUUUUCAUGUUUUAACUUUAUACUGUUAUUAUACUUCAGUUAUGUUUUAGGGUCCUCUGAAAAGCAAAUUGUGUCAGAAGAUAAAGAGCUUUUUAAUCUUGAAAGCCGAGUUGAAAUAGAAAAAUCGCUAAAGCAGAUGGAAGAUGUUUUGAAAGCAUUGCAAACAAAGCUUUGGGAGGUUGAAU